UCAAGCACUUUUGAGUGCUCCAAACCCAGACGAUCCACUCUCUGAGAACAUUGCAAAGCACUGGAAGUCAAACGAGGCUGAAGCUGUUGAAACCGCUAAAGAAUGGACACGUCUUUAUGCAAGUGGUGCCUGAAGACCAUAAAUUAGUGAAAAAAAAAAACCCGUGGAAUGUUAUCGAUCCACUGUUAAAUCCGAAUGGGACUUGGGAGGACUGAAGCUGAACGCUUUGAAUUACCCAUCUAAAAUUGUUUCCCUGUCCUUGAAAUUGUACAAUUGAACGAUGCACCUUUUUUUCAAGUUGAAUUGGUCUUUACUUCUAGACCAGAAAUGGUUCUAAAGUAUUAUCUCACAGAUCACUGAAUUGGAGGACAACGUUUGUUGCGUGAGCAGGUUGCUUUCUCCACUUCUCUUUUUGAACCAAGGGUCUAUCGGAAAUCACCUCUCUACCUACCCCAUAAAGGUAGGUAGGGGUAAGGCUUUGUGUACAUGUUAUCCUCUCAAACUUAACUUGUGGGGUUACAUGUGCUCCCGUUGUCAUAUAAAGUUCAUGUACUUCCUUG
This 560-nucleotide unclassified non-coding RNA is filed under the name Hevea brasiliensis (rubber tree). The record is from RNAcentral. Lineage: Eukaryota; Viridiplantae; Streptophyta; Magnoliopsida; Malpighiales; Euphorbiaceae.